RNAcentral lists this ribosomal RNA (274 nucleotides) under uncultured bacterium. RNAcentral describes it as "partial 16S ribosomal RNA". It matches the Rfam family "Bacterial small subunit ribosomal RNA", at positions 523 to 796 of the family's 1533-position model. The record is from RNAcentral.
AUACGGAGGGUGCAAGCGUUAAUCGGAAUUACUGGGCGUAAAGCGCGCGUAGGCGGUUUGCUCAGUCGGAUGUGAAAGCCCAGGGCUCAACCUUGGAACUGCAUACGAUACUGGCAAACUAGAGUGUGAGAGAGGAUAGUGGAAUUUCCGGUGUAGCGGUGAAAUGCGUAGAUAUCGGAAGGAACAUCAGUGGCGAAGGCGACUGUCUGGCUCAACACUGACGCUGAGGUGCGAAAGCGUGGGUAGCAAACAGGAUUAGAAACCCUAGUAGUCC